AUGUGGCGGCUUCCCGAUCCAAGAAGCGGAGGCGGGACCUCAUCAGCAACCUCCCUGACGAGAUCCUCGGCACCAUCAUCUCUCUUGCCCACCAAAGACGCCGCGCGGACAACCGUUCUCUCCUCUCGGUGGCGCCACCUCUGGCACUCCGCCCCGCUUAACCUCGCGGUCGAGCACCUCGCCCGCUCAAUCUGGCUCACCGGCUCGUUCCUCCGCGACAUCCACUACAAACCUGUUUACCGCCGGGUGAGCGAGCACAUCGACGUCACCCUCUCCAAGAUCCUCACCGUGCACACCGGCCCCGCUCGCCGCCUCUCCUUGGGUGACCGCCACGGCAUCCGCCUCAACCGCGGCUUCUGCACUAAGUUCGACGGCUGGUUCUGCUCCACCGCCCUCGAUGGCCUCGAGGAGCUCGAUUUCUACUUGGGCGGCGAGCCGGGGUGGACGCUGCCGACCUCCGUGCUCCGCUUCGCGCCCACGCUGCGCGUCGCGAGACUGUGCGGCUGUGAUUUCCACGAGAUUAAAGCUACCCCCGCACUUCGUCUCCCUCGGCUGAAGGAGCUCAAGCUCUGUGGUCGUGCCACUAUCUCGGAUGCGACCCUCCACUGCCUACUCGCUGGCUGCACUGCGCUAGAGAUCCUUCAGCUUGAUAACAUCCAGGGGCUCAGCUCCGUCCGGAUCAUCUCGUCCACUCUACGUAGUAUCGGUGUCUCUGGGAUCCUUCCACUAGUGCAGUCUGUUGCAAAAGCAGGACAGGCUGAAAAUGGACUAGUAUGUGUUUUUCCAUAA
Molecule: ribosomal RNA, 789 nt
Filed under: Triticum aestivum (bread wheat)
Lineage: Eukaryota; Viridiplantae; Streptophyta; Magnoliopsida; Poales; Poaceae
Description: partial small subunit ribosomal RNA
Source: RNAcentral